RNAcentral lists this ribosomal RNA (405 nucleotides) under uncultured bacterium. RNAcentral describes it as "bacterial SSU rRNA". It matches the Rfam family "Bacterial small subunit ribosomal RNA", at positions 355 to 777 of the family's 1533-position model. The record is from RNAcentral.
UGGGGAAUAUUGGACAAUGGGCGAAAGCCUGAUCCAGCCAUGCCGCGUGGGUGAAGAAGGCCUUAGGGUUGUAAAGCCCUUUCGGCGGGGACGAUGAUGACGGUACCCGCAGAAGAAGCUCCGGCUAACUUCGUGCCAGCAGCCGCGGUAAUACGAAGGGGGCUAGCGUUGCUCGGAUUUACUGGGCGUAAAGGGCGCGUAGGCGGUCAUGUCAGUCGGGCGUGAAAGCCCCGGGCUCAACCUGGGAAUUGCGUUCGAGACGGCAUGACUUGAGGUCGAGAGAGGAUGGUGGAACUCCCAGUGUAGAGGUGAAAUUCGUAGAUAUUGGGAAGAACACCGGUGGCGAAGGCGGCCAUCUGGCUCGAUCCUGACGCUGAGGCGCGAAAGCGUGGGGAGCAAACAGGA